GCCCCUAGCGCAGACGGCGGAGAGCAGAGAGGGAGCGCGCCUUGGCUCGCUGGCCUUGGCGGCGGCUCCUCAGGAGAGCUGGGGCGCCCACGAGAGGAUCCCUCACCCGGGUCUCUCCUCAGGGAUGACAUCAUCCGUCCACCUCCUUGUCUUCAAGGACCACCUCCUCUCCAUGCUGAGCUGCUGCCAAGGGGCCUGCUGCCCAUCUACACCUCACGAGGGCACUAGGAGCACGGUUUCCUGGAUCCCACCAACAUACAAAGCAGCCACUCACUGACCCCCAGGACCAGGAUGGCAAAGGAUGAAGAGGACCGGAACUGACCAGCCAGCUGUCCCUCUUACCUAAAGACUUAAACCAAUGCCCUAGUGAGGGGGCAUUGGGCAUUAAGCCCUGACCUUUGCUAUGCUCAUACUUUGACUCUAUGAGUACUUUCCUAUAAGUCUUUGCUUGUGUUCACCUGCUAGCAAACUGGAGUGUUUCCCUCCCCAAGGGGGUGUCAGUCUUUGUCGACUGACUCUGUCAUCACCCUUAUGAUGUCCUGAAUGGAAGGAUCCCUUUGGGAAAUUCUCAGGAGGGGGACCUGGGCCAAGGGCUUGGCCAGCAUCCUGCUGGCAACUCCAAGGCCCUGGGUGGGCUUCUGGAAUGAGCAUGCUACUGAAUCACCAAAGGCACGCCCGACCUCUCUGAAGAUCUUCCUAUCCUUUUCUGGGGGAAUGGGGUCGAUGAGAGCAACCUCCUAGGGUUGUUGUGAGAAUUAAAUGAGAUAAAAGAGGCCUCAGGCAGGAUCUGGCAUAGAGGAGGUGAUCAGCAAAUGUUUGUUGAAAAGGUUUGACAGGUCAGUCCCUUCCCACCCCUCUUGCUUGUCUUACUUGUCUUAUUUAUUCUCCAACAGCACUCCAGGCAGCCCUUGUCCACGGGCUCUCCUUGCAUCAGCCAAGCUUCUUGAAAGGCCUGUCUACACUUGCUGUCUUCCUUCCUCACCUCCAAUUUCCUCUUCAACCCACUGCUUCCUGACUCGCUCUACUCCGUGGAAGCACGCUCACAAAGUUCCUGACCUGGCCAUCCCGGGGUGCCCUUGACCAGCCCCGUGUCUCCUCAGGGUGUCCCAGCACCAGCCUGGCACAGAGUGGGGCUCAGUUAGAGUAUGUGGGAUGUUGGUUUCGCCAGGUGAGUGAAUGAAAGGACUCGACCACCACAGCUGAGCCACUAGCUGGGCCAUGCGAAGAGUUCUAGGUGCAAAGGCUGGAGGGUGGAAUUCAUUUUUGAGAGGUGUGUGAGCAGCUUCCGACCCCUGCCCCAUUUGAACGGGGGCCUUGCUGGUCGCGUCCCUGCAUUCACCCGCGCGGCCAUCCCGUCAUCCAACAGUUGAUCCUAACUGAGCACGCCCACGGCCCUGGUCUGGCCUGGGCACCGGCCACCGUAGCCCAUCCCUUGAUGGCCUCUGUGUCCCCAGGAGGGCGGGCCGGGGGGUUGCCCAGGGGCUGGAGCAGUGGACUGUGGCUCCAUAGAGGUAGGCCGGAGGGUGUGAGGGCAGAUUCAAGCUAUCCCCAGGGCUCUGCUCUGGUCGGAGCCAGCCCCUUCUCCCUCUCUGCCUUCCCCGCCCCAUUCCUGAUGCUGAACUGUUCUGGACCCCUGGCCCUGAGUCUCUCAGGACCAAAGUGGGCACGGGAACAGCUGUAGUGUGUGCCCCCCCGGGCUUUGGCCACAGGUCUCCCUCUCGAGGUGUGGUUGUGACUGCGACCCUUCCCUUGCCGUGAUGCCUUCCUCCCCCGGGGCUUGGUCCAGCUCCUUCACUCUCUAGCAGCUGCUGGGGCCCACCUCCCAUGCCGAGGACCAGCAGGGGAAACCUCCAGGGAGCAUCUGCAGGCUCUGCUUCUGCCCGGCUGCUGGCUUGCUCUCCCUGGUGGCUCUCCAGCGGCCAGCUUCCUCACCCACCCGGCACUCCGCUUUGCUCUGUCUCCUGAGGUGGGCCUGACCAACCUCCCCUUCUCUGCCUCAGUCCCUGGGCUCCAGGGCUCAGCUCCACAGCCCUCUGCCUAGCAGGCUGGUUCUCCCUGCCAAGCCCAUACCUGUGGUCACCUGGCCCUCCUGUGGUCUGAGUACCACUCCCCUGCCCCAGGAGCCACUCCCACUCCAGCUGCCUGUUUCCAGCAGGUUCCCAGUGCCCCCGACAAGCCCCUGCUGGUGUCUCCAUCUCCUGCCAAGCAUCCUCCAGUGCCUCCUCCUGUGGGCCUGGCCUCAGGGCUAUGGACAGACUCCUGUCCCAUCCCAGAGACCCCUCGUGAUCGUGCCCUGGCACGUGGGCCGUGGCCCGGCUGGGUCGGCUGAAGAACUGCGGAUGGAAGCUGCGGAAGAGGCCCUGAUGGGGCCCACCAUCCCGGACCCAAGUCUUCUUCCUGGCGGGCCUCUCGUCUCCUUCCUGGUUUGGGCGGAAGCCAUCACCUGGAUGCCUACGUGGGAAGGGACCUCGAAUGUGGGACCCCAGCCCCUCUCCAGCUCGAAAUCCCUCCACAGCCACGGGGACACCCUGCACCUAUUCCCACGGGACAGGCUGGACCCAGAGACUCUGGACCCGGGGCCUCCCCUUGAGUAGAGACCCGCCCUCUGACUGAUGGACGCCGCUGACCUGGGGUCAGACCCGUGGGCUGGACCCCUGCCCACCCCGCAGGAACCCUGAGGCCUAGGGGAGCUGUUGAGCCUUCAGUGUCUGCAUGUGGGAAGUGGGCUCCUUCACCUACCUCACAGGGCUGUUGUGAGGGGCGCUGUGAUGCGGUUCCAAAGCACAGGGCUUGGCGCACCCCACUGUGCUCUCAAUAAAUGUGUUUCCUGUCUUAACAAAA
This 2841-nucleotide long non-coding RNA is filed under the name Homo sapiens (human). RNAcentral's name for it is "HSALNT0379202". The stretch from base 535 to 639 matches the Rfam family "Maternally expressed 3 conserved region 2". Lineage: Eukaryota; Metazoa; Chordata; Mammalia; Primates; Hominidae. The record is from RNAcentral.